AGUUUGAUCAUGGCUCAGAUUGAACGCUGGCGGGAUGCUUUACACAUGCAAGUCGAACGGCAGCACGGGAUUGGGCCUGGUGGCGAGUGGCGAACGGGUGAGUAAUGUAUCGGAACGUGCCUAGUAGCGGGGGAUAACUACGCGAAAGCGUAGCUAAUACCGUAUACGCCCUUCGGGGGAAAGCGGGGACCUUCGGGCCUCGCACUAUUAGAGCGGCCGAUAUCGGAUUAGCUAGUUGGUGGGGUAACGGCUCACCAAGGCGACGAUCCGUAGCUGGUUUGAGAGGACGACCAGCGGCCACACUGGGACUGAGACACGGCCCAGACUCCUACGGAGGCAGCAGCAGUGGGGAAUUUUGGACAAUGGGGAAACCCUGAUCCAGCCAUCCCGCGUGUGCGAUGAAGGCUUUCGGGUUGUAAAAGAAUUUUUGGCAGGGAAAGAAACGGCACGGGAUAAUACCCGUGCAACUGACGGUACCUGCAGAAUAAGCACCGGCUAACUACGUGCCAGCAGCCGCGGUAAUACGUAGGGUGCAAGCGUUAAUCGGAAUUACUGGGCGUAAAGCGUGCGCAGGCGGUUCGGAAAGAAAGAUGUGAAAUCCCCAGAGCUUAACUUUGGAACUGCAUUUUUAACUACCGAGCUAGAGUGUGUCAGAGGGAGGUGGAAUUCCGCGUGUAGCAGUGAAAUGCGUAGAUAUGCGAGUGAACACCGAUGGCGAAGGCAGCCUCCUGGGAUAACACUGACGCUCAUGCACGAAAGCGUGGGGAGCAAACAGGAUUAGAUAAUUCUCCUGGUAGUCCACGCCCUAAAACGGAUGUCAACUAGCUGUUGGGGCCUCGGCCUUUGUAGCGCAGCUAACGCGUGAAGUUGACCGCCUGGGGAGUACGGUCGCAAGAUUAAAACUCAAAGGAAUUGACGGGACCCGCACAAGCGGUGGAUGAUGUGGAUUAAUUCGAUGCAACGCGAAAACCUACCUACCCUUGACAUGUCUGGAAUCCCGAAGAGAUUUGGGAGUGCUCGCAAGAGAACCGAACACAGGUGCUGCAUGGCCGUCGUCAGCUCGUGUCGUGAGAUGUUGGGUUAAGUCCCGCAACGAUGCAACCCUUGGUCAUUAGUUGCUACGAAAGGGCACUCCCAUCGAGACUGCCGGUGACAAACCGGAGAUGUGGGGAUGACGUCAAGUCCUCAUGGCCUUUAUGGGUAGGGCUUCACACGUCAUACAAUGGUCGGGACAGAGGGUCGCCAACCCGCGAGGGGGAGCCAAUCCCAGAAACCCGAUCGUAGUCCGGAUCGCAGUCUGCAACUCGACUGCGUGAAGUCGGAAUCGCUAGUAAUCGCGGAUCAGCAUGUCGCGGUGAAUACGUUCCCGGGUCUUGUACACACCGCCCGUCACACCAUGGGAGUGGGUUUUACCAGAAGUAGUUAGCCUAACCGUAAGGGGAGGGCGAUUACCACGGUAGGAUUCAUGAAUUGGGUGAAGUCGUAACAAGGUAG
This 1494-nucleotide ribosomal RNA is filed under the name uncultured Bordetella sp. RNAcentral's name for it is "partial 16S-23S ribosomal RNA intergenic spacer". It matches the Rfam family "Bacterial small subunit ribosomal RNA". The record is from RNAcentral. Lineage: Bacteria; Pseudomonadati; Pseudomonadota; Betaproteobacteria; Burkholderiales; Alcaligenaceae.